RNAcentral lists this long non-coding RNA (1488 nucleotides) under Gallus gallus (chicken). RNAcentral describes it as "lncRNA (ENSGALG00010016501.1)". The record is from RNAcentral. Lineage: Eukaryota; Metazoa; Chordata; Aves; Galliformes; Phasianidae.
UGUGGGGCUGGGGCCUCAUCCUGCCCACUCUGCCCUGCUCCAGCCCACCUUGCUGGACCAGAUUUGUCUCGCCACCUGGUCAUUUUUUGGGUUGCUUCCUAAAUAAAUCAUCGCUUCGGCUCAGUGUUUCCAGCCUGCUGCACUGCUCUCCUCUGGUCCCACCACUGCCCCUGUGCAAAAUCACUCUCCGGUCCUACAGGUCUCAGUGGGGAGCCCCUUUAAUGGCAUUCCUUCCUCAACGCACUUCAUUCGCCUUAAAUAUUUAUAUUUCAAUCCAGAGGAUUUUCCCCCAGUUCUCCAGGCCCUCCUCAAGGGACAGCAGAGCAAUGUGCUGGCACAGCAAUGACAGCCUCCUUCCAUUAACAGCCCUCCAACAGCCCCGCACUCUAACACAAAGGAGAAUUUCUUGCGCCCGCAUAAUGCAGGUGUUCAGCAGAUGCAGCCUGCCAGCAGCCUGUGCGAGGCCAUUUGAGGAUUCCAGGACCCAAUACUAAACACAGAGCACAGGCAGGUGACACAGGGAUGGGCAGAGGGACGUGUGGUCCUUCACAGCACUGAGAGGAAUGGACACUGUUGUGCAGGAUGGGGAUGGUGGCACGGGCUGCGGGCUGUCCCCAGCCAUGGGAGGGGUGGGAUCACCUAAGGAUGCUAUGGGAGCCCUGGAACAAGAUCUGGCCCCAGCAAUUGAACCACACGUAAACAACUUUCCCCUUGCCUUGGGCUGUCUGGAGAGAGAUAUCUCUGCACAUUUGAAGCAAAACGUUGUGCUUUAAUGAUGCUUCAUGUUUAAUUCCCGAGAUGCAAUGUUACCUUCGCGCUGCACACAAUGGCUCUUGUGAGCAGCACAAAGGCACCCCAGUGGGGCAGAGCUGCUUCUCUAAAACAGGAAAAGAAGGACCACGCUGCGCACGGCGAGUUAUCCUCUCUCCUCCAGACAGAGCACCCUGGUUUCUGAGGCCGUUGUGGGGCUGCUGGUGGGAUGUUAGGCACGGGGGUGGGGGGUCCCAGCCUUCAUCCUGCUCUCGUGGGAUGUGAAGGCUGCAGGUCAGGAGGAGGUGGCCCCGUGGAUGGCGGUCACGUUGAGGUCCCCUUCUCUUCUGCUCAGAGCGGUGCAAGCGCCAACUCUACAGCACAGAGUUUUACAGGAAACUAUUGCUACGAAAGGUUGCUGAUGGCAGAAAUUCAGAUGCUACAUCCCAAAGAGGAGCUCGGCCUCGCGUCCAGCCCGGCACAGGGCAUGGAAAUCCCACGGGCGUCUCGCAGUGCCGUCACCCCGCUGCUGGUGGAAGGCGGUCCCGGUGCUGCGGGACAGGACCCCGUCCCGGGAGGGGCAAGGAGGGUGUCCGAUGGCGAAGCCUCCCCAAUGGCAUCGAUGUUGCGGUGCGGCGAGGGGGGUGCCGGUGUGCGGGGCUACGAUCCGGAUCCCUCGGGGUGCUGCUGGGGCGGGGGGCUCAGCUGGCUCUCCAGCAGCGCCUGGGCCCCCUCGGC